RNAcentral lists this transfer RNA (71 nucleotides) under Loxodonta africana (African savanna elephant). It matches the Rfam family "tRNA". From Rfam's summary of the family: Transfer RNA (tRNA) molecules are approximately 80 nucleotides in length. Their secondary structure includes four short double-helical elements and three loops (D, anti-codon, and T loops). Further hydrogen bonds mediate the characteristic L-shaped molecular structure. tRNAs have two regions of fundamental functional importance: the anti-codon, which is responsible for specific mRNA codon recognition, and the 3' end, to which the tRNAs corresponding amino acid is attached (by aminoacyl-tRNA synthetases). tRNAs cope with the degeneracy of the genetic code in two manners: having more than one tRNA (with a specific anti-codon) for a particular amino acid; and 'wobble' base-pairing, i.e. permitting non-standard base-pairing at the 3rd anti-codon position. The record is from Rfam by way of RNAcentral. Lineage: Eukaryota; Metazoa; Chordata; Mammalia; Proboscidea; Elephantidae.
GCAGGGGUGACUUGGUGGUAGAAUUCCCACCUUCCAUGCAGGAGACCCGGGUUCGAUUCCUGGCCAAUGCA